AUCGCACACGUGGAGAAAGAGAAAGACACAACGUGAGCGCAAAAAGCCGCCACACACAUGCAAAACGAGUCUGUGCACACGUACAGUGAGUUUUUUAUGCCCAAUAAUUUUGGCUUGUUCUGGCGGCAUAAAAACGUUGCAGAUUUUUGGACCGGGCAAAUCCACUGUGUCGAAAAUUGUCUAAGAGGGUAGCGGGUGAUGCUGAAGCCUAUCUCGGCUGCAUUCAGGCGGAAGGUGACCACAGAUCAGCCACAGGACCACUCCCCUUUGCAUCAGUUGGUGACGUCUCUGUGCUGCUGACUUGUCUCCAUUCAAGAUGAUCCCCUGCUAGCCUCCGAAUGGACUGGACUUUCACAUGAAGUCGGGACCGGUGUGGACCACUCCUUAUGCAUCAGUCGGUGUCGUCUCUACGCCCCGACAUGCCUACAUGCUAGAGGAUCCCCUGCUGUCCCCACUAUGGACUGGACUCUAACAUUGUUAACCGAAUCCACUCGGCAUCCAUUGCACCGGUCACCCAGGGGGUGUGGGGGGUCCCCACAUCUGCGGUUCCUUCCAAGGUUUCUCGUUGUUCCCAUCGGGUUGAGUUUUUUCUUGCCCUGAUGUACAAUCUGAGCCGAGGAUGUCGUUGUGGCUUGUGCAGCUCUUUGAGACAAGUGUGAUUAAGGGCUAUAUAAGUACACUUUGAUUGAUUUAUUGAUUGCAUUGCAUACCGUUCUAUUUUUUAGAUCUUAUUAUUAAUUGGGGCAAACGCUUUUGUUAAGUCCAUGAACACUGCAGUAGAACACUUUUUACCAUUUACUGCUUUGGUAAUUUCGUCUGUUAAUUCAAUUAAUGUCAUCUUAGUGUCAUCAUUUUCUCUGUAUUUGUAAUAGUUGUCCGCAUGCGAUCCACUUUUAUUUAUGAAUUUGUCAUAUCUGUUGUGAAAGAAAUUAAAGGACAUACAAUUAGAAGAACA
This is a long non-coding RNA of Nerophis ophidion (straightnose pipefish), 955 nucleotides long. RefSeq lists it as uncharacterized. NCBI's taxonomy places the organism in Eukaryota, Metazoa, Chordata, Actinopteri, Syngnathiformes, Syngnathidae. The transcript has 3 exons. The record is from RefSeq and is a predicted model, not a curated record.